UAAACCACUCUCAGAGGUCAAGCGACACACCUCUGAAGACCUAGAUUAUUGCGAAGGAGGAUGGAGAAGUCAUUGCAGCUCAUUGCAAUUGCAUGGCAGGACUAUCAGAAUCGUGUUCUCAUGUAGGGGCAGUUCUUUUUUCCAUUGAAGUUGGGGUUAAGAUGCAAGAUUCAGCUUCCUGCAAAACAGAGCAGUGCAAGUGGCUGAUCCUAUCACAUGUAAAAAAGGUAAGGUGACACAUUCACAGCAAACCAAAUGUGGGACAGAGAAUGUUAUUUUGGGACACUGUUUAACAGUAGGCUAAAUUAUGAUGUUAAUAAAUUAAAGGGAUAGUUCACCCAAAAAUGAAAAUUCUGUCAUCAUUUACUAACUCUCAUGUUGUUACAAACCCACAUAAAUUUCUUUGUUCUGGUGAACACAAAGGAAGACAUUUUGAGAAAUGUUCGUAACCAAACCGUUUGUGGACCCCAUUUACUUACAUAGUAUUCCUUUAUCCUGCUAUGGAAGUAAAUGGGGUCCACGAACGGUUUAAUUACAAACAUUUUUCUAAACAUCUUCCUUAGUGUUCAUCAGAACAAAGAAACUUAUGUGGGUUUGUAACAACAUGAGAGUGAGUAAAUGAUGACAGAAUUUUCAUUUUGGGUGAACUAUCCAUUUUUGAUGUCUAUAUUGUGCCCCUUUGGUUAUGUCUUUGCUCUAGUUAAUUCAUCAGGACACAACAUACAGUAGACAAGUAGAUUGCUUGUCUUCAUCUACAUUUCCUCCUCUAUGAGGGGAUUUUCAUUAUAUUUCAUCAUACCUAAUGUCGGGGAUUAUUAAAGUAUUUCUAUUCUAUAUUCUGCCUUAAUCUGUGUAGCUUGUGACAUUGUGGUCAGUCACAAUUUCCCUGUUGGGCAAAGAGGAGUUAAGACAACAAAGACCCACAUAAAUACAGUUUGGCAUCUCAAUCCUGUGAUGAUAGCCUUACCUGUUUUCCUCACAGCCAUCGGAUAAAGGCAGAUUUAAACUGCAUAUAGAAAUGUUGUGGACCACAGAAAUGUGGCGUUAAUGAUCUUCUUUGUGUUAACUUAUUUUCAGAUUCCUGCUGCUCCAGUAGCUCUGAUUGACUUCUCAUCAGCAAAAGCAAAAAUAAAAAAUAAAAAAAAUAAAGCUUGACUGUUCCAUUGAUGGCAGGACAACUGACAACAAGGUUGGGAAAUCACUUCCAUGCCCAAGAGUGAAGAGAGGGUCAGAAACAUAUGCUAGGUUUUUUGAGACAUUAAACUAAAACUGUCCAAGGAGUGAAGCACUGAUGGCUAGGGAGCCUUACCACAAAU
Cyprinus carpio carpio is the source of this 1316-nucleotide long non-coding RNA. Lineage: Eukaryota; Metazoa; Chordata; Actinopteri; Cypriniformes; Cyprinidae. The record is from Ensembl.